Camellia sinensis is the source of this 2499-nucleotide non-coding RNA. The record is from RefSeq and is a predicted model, not a curated record. Lineage: Eukaryota; Viridiplantae; Streptophyta; Magnoliopsida; Ericales; Theaceae.
GGUUUAUGUAGAGUGACUUAUUUUUUUUUGAAUUUUUUUCCCCUCACCAAUAAGCAAAUUUCAGAAUAGAUUUUAUGUUUGAUAGGCAGGGCACCAUAAAGAGCUCUCUCUCUCUCUCUCUCUCUGGAAGAGUGUGAAAUGCAUGUAUUUUGAUUCAUUUGCUUACACUAUAUUUUUCUUUUCUUGCUAAUUCAUUUGUCUUUAUUGUUUUGCCCAUCUUUUCCAUGAUCAAUAAUCUGUACCCAAAACUAACUGAAAAUGCCACUACAUUCAAGAACCAAUGUGAAAUAUAUAGCCAUGUAAAAUAACAAUCCCCAUCAAAUUAUGAAGGAACUUUUUGAUAUAGAUGCUGGCUUUAACUAAAAUUUGUCCAUUGUUGCACAUGCUUAACAGGUUCUGCCCUUGGUGAGCUCUACUAUAGAGGAAGAUCUCCCAUGCAAGCCACUACAUUUUAGACAUUAUUUUUUUUUUUAAUUUCAAGAUGAUUCUACUUGCAACUAAUAUCUAAUAAAAAUUUAAUAGUUGCAGUAUUUUAUUGGGUUUGUUUUGGUUAUGGUUUAUAUUAUUUUGUGCAUUACAAUUAGUAGGAAACACCAAAUUGGUGGUUACUUCUGAUUCCUAUAAAGGUAUAUCAUAUAUAUAUUUUUUUAAUUUCUCAGUGGGGCAGUUAGUUGGAUCGUCUGAGAUCGAUGCAACUUGUUUUCUUCUUGUUAAAAAUAAUGGCAAAAGAAGAAGAAAAUAUAUUUUCCACUAACAAUAAUUUGCUGAGGAUCUCUUAGUUUGAUGCUAACCUGGAAUGGUCCAGCCUGUUGGGCAUUCACUUUCAGGUGUCAAAAGAACAGAAACAUAAAGUAUUGUUGUGCAUUGGCCAUUGAUCUUGACUCUUGAUGAGGUGCUAGUGGUGUAUGGAAACAUCACAUAUUAUAUGUGGACACUUCCAUUUUUGUUUGCUAGACCAUUUUUUGGUCUGUGAUCUUUUGAGGUUUGUCUAUUGGUUCAGAAUAGUUUUAGGAUUUAUUGCCAGAGCAAUAACCGUAUCAAUUUUAGUUAUUUGGAACUCAAAUGCUCUGUAUACUUCAUUCUUAAUUGUCAUCCUUUGCCUUUUCCCAUAAAUGUUAAUUCAUAUUUAGCAUUCAAAUAUUCAUUUAAUUUUGUUCACCUUUUGCCACACUUGUGUACAGAUUCAUCUAGAAUUGCUAGUCUAUGGAUCGUCAUUUUUUAUGAAGAUGGGAGGCGGAAGGAAAGAUAAAAUGACAGUAGAAUAGUCUAUUGUUGGAGGUUCCCUUCAUGGUGGUUCACUUCAGAUGAAUAGGAACACUGAUCAUGUUAACUCACAUAUUAGAGUUAAUAGAAGUUCACCAUUUGGUAGUAGUUACAAGGAAGCUUGUAACUUGGGCUUAACAUGGUUAUAUAAUCUUGGGAACACUUGUUUCAUGAACAGUGCCAUUCAGUGUUUGGUGCAUACUCCAAAGCUUGUUGAUUAUUUUCUUAGAGCCUACAGAAAGGACAUAAAUCCUUUGGGCAUGAAUCUGUGUAUAUUUAGAAUCCAACAAUUAGUUAUUGUACUUUUGAAAGAGCUUGUUCUGGCAUUUUGCCCUCUUGUUAUGUUUUUUGUUGGCGGCCUCUUAAAUGUGUCAUUCUCUCUCUCUCUCUCUCUCUCUCUCUCUCUCUCAAUGUGCACUUUUUGGCCGGGGUGAACUUGCUUUACAAUUUGGAGAUUUGUUAGGGAAGCUAUGGGCUCCAAGAGCGUUCAAAUCGAAACUUUCUGCUUUUGCACCUCAAUUCAGUGGCUAUAGCCAACAUGAUUCCCAAGAAUUUCUUGCUUUUUUUUUGGAUGGGCUCCAUGAAAAUCUCAAUCGUGUGAAUUACAAACCUUACAUAGAAGCAAAGGAAGCAAAAGAUCGGCCUGAUGAAGAAGUGGUAGAUGAGCACUGGCGAAAUCAUCUAGCUCGCAAUGACUCCAUCAUAGUUGAUAUGUGCCAAGUCAAUACCGUUCAAAAUUGGUUUGUCCAGCUUGCAAGAAAUUAUCCAUUACAUUUGAUCCAUUCAUGUAUCUUUCAUCACCACUACCUUCAACAACAAUGCGCUCAAUGACUUUGACAGUCAUGAGCACGGAUGGGAGUACUUUGCUAUUUCCAGUCAUUGUAACUGUACUAAAGUAUGGAAGAUGUAAGGAUCUAGUGCAUGCCUUAAGCACCACAUGUUCUUUGAGAUAUGAUGAAAAACUGUUAGUAGCUGAGGUAUGUUUUUUAGCAAUGUGGUCAAUAAUUAAAUAUUUAAUGUAAGUGUGAACUCUUAUUCUUUCUCUAUAUGUGCGCAACAAACAACUUGCAUCAAGGUCUCACUAAAAAUGAUAGGGUUUCAAGAACUAUAUUGUCAUGUCACACAUCAAACACCUCGGGAGGGACCAAUGUGAGCUAUGGAAACUUAUGGAACUAGCACGGGACUCCUGGUUUGAAAACUAAGUCCAAAAAGGCACUUUUUCACACUUAAGCUUGA